This 561-nucleotide ribosomal RNA is filed under the name Triticum aestivum (bread wheat). RNAcentral describes it as "partial small subunit ribosomal RNA". Lineage: Eukaryota; Viridiplantae; Streptophyta; Magnoliopsida; Poales; Poaceae. The record is from RNAcentral.
AUGGAAGCCACCGCCGCCUGCUCGGCCUCCCUCGCCUCCUCGCCGCUCCCCCACCGCCGCAGCCGCGUGCGCGUGGUCGUCGCGGCGGCCCGACGGAAGGGGCCGUCGGGCGCGGUGGCCGCGGCGGCCUCCACGGGCAACUACGUGGUGCCGCUGGACGCCGCGCCGUCGGGGAUCACGCGGCCGCUCGUCGAGAUCCUGCGCGACCUCAACAAGCGCGUCCCGGAGACCAUCGUCCUCCCCGCCUCCCGCCGCGCCUCCGCCUCCGACCCCGUCAUCCCAUGGUACCAUGCCAACCGGAUGCUCAGCUUCUACGCCCCCGGCUGGUGUGGAGAGGUCCGUGAUGUUAUUUACAAUGACAAUGGAAAGGUGACCGUGGUGUAUCGUGUCACAAUACGAGGAAUAGAUGGAGAGGUUCAUCGGGAGGCUGCUGGAACAGCAUCACUGAGCGACGCACGGCUCGACGACCCCGUGGCGGCCGCGGAAGAGGCGGCGUUCUGCAAGGCCUGCGCGAGGUUCGGCUUCGGGCUGUACCUGUACCACGAAGACGAGGUGCUGUGA